CCUCCGUGACAAACACCGGUUUCCGUGUCAACAUUUAACUGUCCGUCAUAUAUGAAAUUUUUUAUAAUUAGUAUUUUUAUUAUUAUUAGAUGAUAAAACAUGAUUAAUACUUUAUGCGUGACUUGUCUUUUUAAUUUUUUUCAUAUUUUUUCAAAUAAGACGGACGGUCAAAUGUUAGACACGGAAACUAGGGUUUGUCUUUUU
Non-coding RNA from Oryza barthii, 204 nucleotides. Lineage: Eukaryota; Viridiplantae; Streptophyta; Magnoliopsida; Poales; Poaceae. The record is from Rfam.